Long non-coding RNA from Brassica napus (rape), 736 nucleotides. RefSeq lists it as uncharacterized. The transcript is spliced from 2 exons. NCBI's taxonomy places the organism in Eukaryota, Viridiplantae, Streptophyta, Magnoliopsida, Brassicales, Brassicaceae. The record is from RefSeq and is a predicted model, not a curated record.
AGGAGCAAGAGACGUGCCCGUAAAUUUAUGGAAAGUAUGUUCAGACUCUGCAAAUCAAUGGGCUGAUACAUUUAACACAAAGUUAACAGCGAGACUUAACAAUCUCCAGACAACAUUUCCUGGUGCCAAAUUUGUCUACGUAUACAUGUAUAAUCUAGUCUCUAUCUCAUCAAAAAUCCUCAGGCUUCAGAAUUGUGUCCAUUUGGCUAGAGCCUAGAGCGACAAGCCGACAAAGAUUCAGUGGGUUCAUCUAUCGGGUCUGUAUAUGAAUCUUUAUGUACACAUUGUUAUCCCUUUUUCCGAAGAUUUUAUCGGUGGAUUCACCGCUUUAGAUUCCUUCAUUUUUUUUCUUUGAGGAGAAAAUUUUACCAUCAAAGUUUCUACGAAAGGAGAUGUCUCGGACUCGUUACUAAGAAAAUUUUUCAACUCAAGUUUACUAUCUUGUGUAACGGUCUCUAUGGAUCAGAAAAUGCAAUCAAAAUUUCUUAGGAUUUCUCGUAGGUGACGGUUGAAUCUCAACCUAAAGUGACUAUUUUUUAGCUAUCCAAUUUUGUCGUGAAGGCCAUAUCGAUGGAUUCAAGUUUCGCCUCGAGCUCGCUGUCAUUUUUUUAAGAAGACCUAUUUGUUUUAUCUCUCUUUGUUUUUGUAAUUUAUGCUUACCAAAGAUUAUGAAUAAUUCAAUAUUUUUAUUGUAUCCCAACAAUUUGAGUUUAAUGAAAGUAAUUGAUGAGUUUAA